ACCAGACUCCUACGGGAGGCAGCAGUGAGGAAUAUUGGUCAAUGGGCGCGAGCCUGAACCAGCCAAGUCGCGUGAGGGAUGACGGCCCUACGGGUUGUAAACCUCUUUUGUCGGGGAGCAAAUUCCGCCACGUGUGGCGGAGUCGAGAGUACCCGAAGAAAAAGCAUCGGCUAACUCCGUGCCAGCAGCCGCGGUAAUACGGAGGAUGCGAGCGUUAUCCGGAUUUAUUGGGUUUAAAGGGUGCGUAGGCGGGCUGUUAAGUCAGCGGUAAAAUGUCGGGGCCCAACCCCGGCCUGCCGUUGAAACUGGCGGCCUCGAGUGGGCGAGAAGUAUGCGGAAUGCGUGGUGUAGCGGUGAAAUGCAUAGAUAUCACGCAGAACUCCGAUUGCGAAGGCAGCAUACCGGCGCCCGACUGACGCUGAGGCACGAAAGCGUGGGUAUCGAACAGGAUUAGAUACCCGCGUAC
This 466-nucleotide ribosomal RNA is filed under the name uncultured bacterium. RNAcentral's name for it is "bacterial SSU rRNA". It matches the Rfam family "Bacterial small subunit ribosomal RNA", at positions 330 to 793 of the family's 1533-position model. The record is from RNAcentral.